UGCAGAAGGGCCUAGCUUUAGAGUCCACUGU
This 31-nucleotide non-coding RNA is filed under the name Homo sapiens (human). The record is from RNAcentral. Lineage: Eukaryota; Metazoa; Chordata; Mammalia; Primates; Hominidae.